Molecule: long non-coding RNA, 669 nt
Organism: Aethalodelphis obliquidens (Pacific white-sided dolphin)
Lineage: Eukaryota; Metazoa; Chordata; Mammalia; Artiodactyla; Delphinidae
Exons: 2
Source: RefSeq, a predicted model, not a curated record
GGAGUGUUUCCUUUGAAGAAGAGGGAUGGCGGGUUCUUGCCUCCCGGGCCCCAGGCCCCGUGCAGAAGAGGCCGGGCGAGCAGAGCCCCUAGGAUGCUGCGCCCGUCCCGGGAGGGCUGGUGGAGGGGCCCUGGUCGAUCAGACGGGUUCCCAGCAUGGGCUCCGCGCACCGGGGCCUGCUCUGUGCCGGCCUGGCCCCCUCUGCCCACCUCCCGGGCCCUCCUUGUCCGACGGGAAGCAGAGCCGCAUCCUCGCCGAAUCCCCCCACACGGCUGGGCUGGGGCAGCAGGAGGAAUGAUGUGCUUGCGCUCCGAGGGCUCGGGAAGGCGUUGCCUCGGGCGCCCAGAAGUCACGUCUGCCGGACGCACUGUCAGGCCCGUAUCUCUCAGCAUCACUGUUGAGACAGAAGCGUUCAGCUGAACCUGUUUUCCAUGCUGAGCACACGUAUGUAGGAUGAACUCGUGGUUGGGGGCUAAACCUCACAUCUGAGAAGUUGCCUUGAACUAGAACAGACUGGAGCCCUCGGGCACCCGGGUCAGAACAGGUUCUGCCAUUCCGGACGGGCAGCCUCCAGGCCCAGGUCCUGGCUCAAGGCCGGUCUGUGGUCCCUUUGGGUGCAUCUCAGACCCUCCGGUAUGUUUGCCUUUUGCCCUUGAACUUUGGACACAA